This 503-nucleotide ribosomal RNA is filed under the name uncultured bacterium. RNAcentral's name for it is "partial 16S ribosomal RNA". It matches the Rfam family "Bacterial small subunit ribosomal RNA", at positions 30 to 523 of the family's 1533-position model. The record is from RNAcentral.
AUUGAACGCUGGCGGCAGGCUUAACACAUGCAAGUCGAGCGGGGUGAUGGUGCUUGCACUAUCACUUAGCGGCGGACGGGUGAGUAAUGCUUAGGAAUCUGCCUAUUAGUGGGGGACAACAUCUCGAAAGGGAUGCUAAUACCGCAUACGUCCUACGGGAGAAAGCAGGGGAUCACUUGUGACCUUGCGCUAAUAGAUGAGCCUAAGUCGGAUUAGCUAGUUGGUGGGGUAAAGGCCUACCAGGGCGACGAUCUGUAGCGGGUCUGUGAGGAUGAUCCUCCACACUGGGACAGAGACACGGCCCAGACUCCUACGGGAGGCAGCAGUGGGGAAUAUUGGACAAUGGGAGGAACCCUGAGCCAGCCAUGCCGCGUGUGUGAAGAAGGCCUUAUGGUUGUAAAGCUCUUUAAGCGAGUAGGAGGCUCUUUUGGUUAAUACCCAAGAUGAGUGGACGUUACUCGCAGAAUAAGCACCGGCUAACUCUGUGCCAGCAGCCGCCGUAA